GAUGAACGCUGGCGGCGUGCCUAAUACAUGCAAGUCGAGCGAACAGACGAGGAGCUUGCUCCUCUGACGUUAGCGGCGGACGGUUGAGUAACACGUGGAUAACCUACCUAUAAGACUGGGAUAACUUCGGGAAACCGGAGCUAAUACCGGAUAAUAUAUUGAACCGCAUGUUUCAAUAGUGAAAGACGGUUUUGCUGUCACUUAUAGAUGGAUCCGCGCCGCAUUAGCUAGUUGGUAAGGUAACGGCUUACCAAGGCAACGAUGCGUAGCCGACCUGAGAGGGUGAUCGGCCACACUGGAACUGAGACACGGUCCAGACUCCUACGGGAGGCAGCAGUAGGGAAUCUUCCGCAAUGGGCGAAAGCUUGACGGAGCAACGCCGCGUGAGUGAUGAAGGUCUUCGGAUCGUAAAACUCUGUUAUUAGGGAAGAACAAAUGUGUAAGUAACUAUGCACGUCUUGACGGUACCUAAUCAGAAAGCCACGGCUAACUACGUG
This 497-nucleotide ribosomal RNA is filed under the name uncultured bacterium. Its description in RNAcentral is "partial 16S ribosomal RNA". It matches the Rfam family "Bacterial small subunit ribosomal RNA", at positions 28 to 507 of the family's 1533-position model. The record is from RNAcentral.